AUUCUUGAUGACAGUGGUCGGGAAAACUCGCCUUUCACGGCCCGGCCAAGGGGCAUUUGGGUGCUUUUGCUGCCCGUGGCUGUGCUCAGCGUUGUGGGAAGCCCCUGGGAGGCCGAAUGUGCAGGAUCACCGAGGGGAAAGUGAGCUUGACAGUUCUACAGUCUGGGGACGACGGUUUAAAAAUUUAUGCCUUGUAUGCGAUGUGCAGUGGGUGAUGGAAGAACGUCUACAUGGCUUUAA
RNAcentral lists this long non-coding RNA (240 nucleotides) under Homo sapiens (human). RNAcentral describes it as "HSALNT0226618". The record is from RNAcentral. Lineage: Eukaryota; Metazoa; Chordata; Mammalia; Primates; Hominidae.